RNAcentral lists this long non-coding RNA (221 nucleotides) under Elaeis guineensis (African oil palm). RNAcentral describes it as "long non-coding RNA (EGUI_LNC032782)". The record is from RNAcentral. Lineage: Eukaryota; Viridiplantae; Streptophyta; Magnoliopsida; Arecales; Arecaceae.
CUCUUCUCUUCAUCAAGUGACUGGACUCUUGAUCUGUGUCCAGUGGCCAUCCAUGCCAAGCCAUCACCGUCAUCUUCUUUCAGUAAAGUUCAUAAAAAAUAUUAUUUUAUUGAUCUAAUCAAUAAAUAUAAAAUUUAAAUUAUUGAUAAUAUUUUUAAAUUUUAUUAUAUACAAAUAUAUUUUUUUCUUAAUUUAAUUUGGGUCCCGCACUCUGGAACUGC